This 751-nucleotide ribosomal RNA is filed under the name uncultured Streptococcaceae bacterium. Its description in RNAcentral is "bacterial SSU rRNA". It matches the Rfam family "Bacterial small subunit ribosomal RNA", at positions 38 to 774 of the family's 1533-position model. Lineage: Bacteria; Bacillati; Bacillota; Bacilli; Lactobacillales; Streptococcaceae. The record is from RNAcentral.
GGCGGCGUGCCUAAUACAUGCAAGUAGAACGCUGAAGGGGGAGCUUGCUUCUCUGGAUGAGUUGCGAACGGGUGAGUAACGCGUAGGUAACCUGCCUGGUAGCGGGGGAUAACUAUUGGAAACGAUAGCUAAUACCGCAUAAGAGUAGAUGUUGCAUGACAUUUGCUUAAAAGGUGCAAAUGCAUCACUACCAGAUGGACCUGCGUUGUAUUAGCUAGUUGGUGGGGUAACGGCUCACCAAGGCGACGAUACAUAGCCGACCUGAGAGGGUGAUCGGCCACACUGGGACUGAGACACGGCCCAGACUCCUACGGGAGGCAGCAGUAGGGAAUCUUCGGCAAUGGACGGAAGUCUGACCGAGCAACGCCGCGUGAGUGAAGAAGGUUUUCGGAUCGUAAAGCUCUGUUGUAAGAGAAGAACGAGUGUGAGAGUGGAAAGUUCACACUGUGACGGUAUCUUACCAGAAAGGGACGGCUAACUACGUGCCAGCAGCCGCGGUAAUACGUAGGUCCCGAGCGUUGUCCGGAUUUAUUGGGCGUAAAGCGAGCGCAGGCGGUUAGAUAAGUCUGAAGUUAAAGGCUGUGGCUUAACCAUAGUAGGCUCUGGAAACUGUUUAACUUGAGUGCAAGAGGGGAGAGUGGAAUUCCAUGUGUAGCGGUGAAAUGCGUAGAUAUAUGGAGGAACACCGGUGGCGAAAGCGGCUCUCUGGCUUGUAACUGACGCUGAGGCUCGAAAGCGUGGGGAGCAAACA